Long non-coding RNA from Lycium ferocissimum, 413 nucleotides. RefSeq lists it as uncharacterized. The transcript is spliced from 2 exons. NCBI's taxonomy places the organism in Eukaryota, Viridiplantae, Streptophyta, Magnoliopsida, Solanales, Solanaceae. The record is from RefSeq and is a predicted model, not a curated record.
UGUUUCCUUAAGAUUCUAACUCUAAGAACCCUAAUAAGAGUUUUGGGUAAACAUGACCAAUUUGCAGAUUUUGACGAGAUUGCGACGUGAAUUUGGAAUAGAAAAAGGAGCGGAAAGAGGUCAGCAGACAGGCGGAUUUGAUCCUUAGGAGCUCUACCAGCCGUACUUGACAGCGCUCCAGUUGUUCCGGAGCCUCACUUCUGUGGUACUCUUUUGUGUAUAUUUUCGGGCACGACAGUACUCGGCCCUUUCUAUGUAUAAGUGUACUAUGUCUAGAGGCUCGUAGACAGAUAUGUUCAGUCAGUUAUGUACAGUUAAAUAUGUGGUAUUUUGGCAUCUUAAUGUUGUUGUAUGAAGUGACAGCGAAGCUAACUAGUCCAUGUUCAUAAUGACGCUGCUAAUGUUAAUGUUCA